Molecule: long non-coding RNA, 583 nt
Organism: Scatophagus argus
Lineage: Eukaryota; Metazoa; Chordata; Actinopteri; Scatophagidae
Exons: 4
Source: RefSeq, a predicted model, not a curated record
CCAGAAUUAAAUCUAUGCUCAUGAUUGUCAGUCAGAAGCUCCACCAACUAAAUGGACAUUGAGGCCACAGCUUCCCUCUGAGUAAUGAGAAACAGGGAAAGCCAAGAGCAGCACGCUGGGCCUCAUGAUAAGCAAAUGAUUGAAAUGGAAGAUUCUGAGACAGUGGAAGUAAAAGAAGAAGCCAUCCCUUGCCUGAGGCCGAAAGACAUAUCUUAACCUGCUGAGACCAUUCUUCAUAAUAACAUGCACAUCCCAACAUCCACUGGCAUGCUGGAUCACACACAACGCUGAAAAAAGGAAGAGGAGGGGAAGGAUCCAUGUGGGCACUCUGACGUGUCACGCAAAGACAAUGGGAACGGUGGUGCUGUGAGGGUCAUGAUUCAGAGUGUGGGAAGGACCAGCACUGCAAGAAAAGAUGGAGCGCAUGACUUGUUGAAUGUUUCUAAAUACUGCUACACAAUACAAACAGUGAAAACCACAGAUACUGCUGGUCACACUGUCACCACACCAUGAAGGAUAAUAGUAUUCAAAGAAUAUUUUAAUAAGUAUAUGUAAUAAUAUAAAAUUUUAUAUGGUCCAGAAU